RNAcentral lists this ribosomal RNA (428 nucleotides) under uncultured bacterium. RNAcentral's name for it is "partial 16S ribosomal RNA". It matches the Rfam family "Bacterial small subunit ribosomal RNA", at positions 354 to 796 of the family's 1533-position model. The record is from RNAcentral.
GUGGGGAAUAUUGGGCAAUGGGCGAAAGCCUGACCCAGCAACGCCGCGUGAGGGAAGAAGGUUUUCGGAUUGUAAACCUCUGUCCUUGGUGACGAACACAAUGACGGUAGCCAAGGAGGAAGCCCCGGCUAACUACGUGCCAGCAGCCGCGGUAAUACGUAGGGGGCAAGCGUUGUCCGGAAUGACUGGGCGUAGAGGGCGUGUAGGCGGCCGAUUAAGUCUGGAGUGAAAGUCCUGCUUUCAAGGUGGGAAUUGCUUUGGAGACUGGUUGGCUUGAGUGCGGAAGAGGCAAGUGGAAUUCCCAGUGUAGCGGUGAAAUGCGUAGAGAUUGGGAGGAACACCAGUGGCGAAGGCGACUUGCUGGGCCGUAACUGACGCUGAGGCGCGAAAGCGUGGGGAGCGAACAGGAUUAGAAACCCGGGUAGUCC